RNAcentral lists this small RNA (121 nucleotides) under Klebsiella pneumoniae. RNAcentral describes it as "RtT sRNA". It matches the Rfam family "RtT RNA". From Rfam's summary of the family: This family represents a bacterial cis-regulatory element known as RtT RNA. The exact function of RtT is unknown although it is thought that it may be involved in changing the cellular response in relation to amino acid starvation. Lineage: Bacteria; Pseudomonadati; Pseudomonadota; Gammaproteobacteria; Enterobacterales; Enterobacteriaceae. The record is from RNAcentral.
ACGGGGAAGGAUGAGAAGCUUCGACUAAGGUUCGACUCGAGCGAAGCGAGAGAACGUUGCCACAGGCAACGGCCCGAAGGGCGAGGCGCUUUAGCGCCGAGUAAUCCUUCCCCCACCAUCA